Molecule: ribosomal RNA, 331 nt
Filed under: uncultured bacterium
Lineage: Bacteria
Description: bacterial SSU rRNA
Rfam family: Bacterial small subunit ribosomal RNA
Source: RNAcentral
GACGAACGCUGGCGGCGUGCCUAACACAUGCAAGUCGAACGGAGUUAAGACUUCGGUUUUAACUUAGUGGCGAACGGGUGAGUAACGCGUGAGAAACCUGCCUUUCAGUGGGGGACAACAGUUAGAAAUGACUGCUAAUACCGCAUAAUGUUAUUUGGGGGCAUCCCUGAAUAACCAAAGCUUUAUGUGCUGAAAGAUGGUCUCGCGUCUGAUUAGCUAGAUGGCGGGUAAGGCCCACCAUGGCGACGAUCAGUAGCCGGUCUGAGAGGAUGAACGGCCACAUUGGGACUGAGAUACGGCCCAGACUCCUACGGGAGGCAGCAGUGGGGAA